GAAGAACCUCGGGUGCUGGCGCGCCUGAAGUUGCAGACCAGACUUAAAUGUGCGAGACAUGUGCCUUUUUCUUAGGAAAGGCCCCAGAUGCCCCCAGUUUGUCUACUCCAUUGAACUUUGCAUGCUUGGAGCCCCUGGCCUCAGCACACUCAAUCGCACAAGCCCGCCUGCAGCACCUGUACAGCACCAUGGGAGUCCCCUGCAGUGCUGCAACUUUGAGAGUGGGUAUAGUGACGUAACUCAGGUUCUUCAAGGGAUGAACACUCCAACUUUGAAACCACUAGCCUGUAGGUGUGGACGAAAAAGCAGCUGCAUGUUAUAAAACAAUAUUACUCAUA
Pan troglodytes (chimpanzee) is the source of this 338-nucleotide long non-coding RNA. RefSeq lists it as uncharacterized. NCBI's taxonomy places the organism in Eukaryota, Metazoa, Chordata, Mammalia, Primates, Hominidae. The transcript is spliced from 2 exons. The record is from RefSeq and is a predicted model, not a curated record.